Molecule: long non-coding RNA, 1838 nt
Organism: Acanthochromis polyacanthus (spiny chromis)
Lineage: Eukaryota; Metazoa; Chordata; Actinopteri; Pomacentridae
Exons: 2
Source: RefSeq, a predicted model, not a curated record
CCCACAGGAACACAGUGAGAUGCAUUAAUGACUGACUGGACGACUACUGAAGGCUCAUUGUACAUGGUGUAACUAAAGUCUGGACACAUAGGAAAUCUCCUUCCAUCCAUUAUCUAUACACCACUUAAUCCUCAUUAGGGUGGCAGCAGGGCUGGAGUCUGUCCCAACUGACUUAGGGUGAAGGCAGGGGACACCCUGGACAGAUCUAUCACAGGGUUACAUAUAGAGACAAACAAUCACAUUCACACCUAAGGACAAUUUAGAAUCACCAGUUAACCUGAGCAAGUUGUUGGACUGUGGGAGGAAGCUGGAGUAACUGGAGAAAACCCAUGCAUGCACAGGGAGAACAUGCAGAAAGAUCCUGGGAGGGUGGGGACACGAACCAAGAUCUUCUCGCUGCAAGGCAAUGGUGCUAAUCACCAAUCCACUGUGCAGCCCUAUAGGACAUCUCCUUAACUAUAUAUUUUUUGCCUCCACAGUUUAAAUAUGGCUGUCAUAUUUAACACACACUACUGUUCAAAAGUUUGGGGUCACCCAGGCAAUUUCAAAUUCAUGCAUAAUUGCAACAAGGGUUUUCUAAUCAUCAAUUAGCCUUCCAAUAUCAUUAGCUAACACAAUGUAGCAUUAGAACACAGGAGUGAUGGUUGCUGGGAAUGUUCCUCUGUACCACUAUGGAGAUAUUCCAUUAAAAACAGCCGUUUCCAGCUACAAUAGUCAUUUACCGCAUUAAAAAUGUCUAGACUGUAUUUCUGAUUAAUUUAAUGUUCUCUUCAUUAAAAAAAAUGCUUUUCUUUCAAAAAUAAGGACAUUUCUAAGUGACCCCAAACUUUUGAACACUAGUGUACUUAGUCGGUCAUGAAAGCUCAAUGAAAAAUCCUUUUUUUUCUCCUAUCAAAUAUAUAUUAAAUCCAAUAUACAGGCUGUCCCUAAAGUCUGGACACGUAGGAAAUCUCAUUAACUAUAAUAUUUUUGCCUCCACAGAUUAAAUAUGGCUUUGUCCAUCCUUCAUAUCCACUGUGAAAUACCAGUUCAACUCUUUCUUCUUUCAAUAAAGACAUUAAAUCUGUGGAGGCAAAAAAUUACAGUUAAUUAGAUUUCCUGUGUCCAGACUUUCGGGACUCCCUGCUGUUUGCGUCCUUGCGCCCCCUUGCGGUCAAGAAAAUGUGUUAUCAGGAUCGAGACAUUGGAUUUAUUAGUGCAGUUUUAAGUAAAACUAAAAGAUACCCAACAAAGCAAGCCACACACUGCAAAAAAACAACAUGCAAAGAGAAUGAUCUCAUCUGGAAAAAAAACCCAAAGUUUUCUUUGCUAAACUGAUUAAAAACCCACCCACAACAAUGAGAGGGUGUGGCUGUCUAUUUGCCAAUCCUCUGAGGGUUCAUUCUGCACAGCCUGACAUCAUGAAGAUCCUGGAGGACCUUCCUCACAGAUGGACUCUUCCUCAGCUUAGCCUGAAGCUGCUGCUGGGGCUGAAGCUAGAUGCACACUCCGCAACUACUGUCCCACAUCACGUCAUGGGGGACCAGCAGACUAAACGGAAGGAAAACAAGUUGGCCGCCCCCGCUGCAGUCAUCACAACCGAGCCGUGUGGAGAGAUAGGACACACAUGUUGAAUGCAACUUACAUUUGGUACUCAUCUAUAGCCUCCACUAAUUGUCCCCACGAGUCAAAGUCUGUGCCUUUCUUAAAACUGGCGUGCCAUUUCUGGACAGUCUUGUUGACAUCAGACAUUUCGGCGAGGCGGUGACUCUCAGGGCAGCAUAGCCGAGGAGGAGGCGCAUCAAGCGGGCUUCGGCGACAGCGGCGUCGUCAACCAGGUUGUCUGUUGUAUGGAGGGG